GCAGCCACUCAGGAGACAAUAGGACAGCUCCAUUUCUGAUCUCUCUGAGCCUUAGCUGUCCUGGGACUUACUCUAUAGAUCAAGAUGACCUUGAACUCAGACAUCCUCCUGAUUCAGGCUCCUGAGUGCUGGGGUUACAGUAUUCCCAAAACACAGCAUGACAACCGUCUCUCCAUCGUCUACACUGUACUUGCUAUCACAAGUCACCUGGAGAAGAGCUGAAGUCCACUGAAGGAUGUGGAGGUUCUAUGAUAAUGCUACAGAGCCUCACGUAAGGACUGGACUAUCAUGGGUUUUAGAAUCAACGCCCCACAGUGACCAAUGGGUAACUACACUGUCUCUUGCCACCAAAGGACCUGAUUGGUAUGGACUCCCUGAACAGUUCACUAGCUGCCAUUGUAUUAGAAUCCUUCAAUCUGAAAUAGCACCUCCUUUCUCUGAGUCUCACAGCCUUCACUCCUGUGAGUUUGUAGCCUCUCCUCAGAGGGCUGCUUUUAUUUGCCUGUGAGUUCUUGACUGUUUCUAUAUGAGGGCUAGUCUGAUGGUAACUAUUCCAGCAGCACCGGGAACGAAGGGAAGAGACUCAAUGUCUUCUGACCACAGGUCCCAGGCGGACACUCCGCCUGUCCGUUUGAUUAGCAUGCUACCUCUAGCAUCUAGGAAAGAGAAGCAGCUCGGUUAAGUGGCCUUCUAGCUUUUCCAAGGACCUAUUUGAUUUUGCUUACGAUGUCACCUGUAUAGAAUUAAAAGUGCACGUGGUAGAGAAAGGCUUACAGUGAAAAGAAAAAGCUCUCUGCCUAACAUUAAAAGAAUCGUCCAAA
Molecule: long non-coding RNA, 821 nt
Filed under: Mus musculus (house mouse)
Lineage: Eukaryota; Metazoa; Chordata; Mammalia; Rodentia; Muridae
Description: predicted gene 15700
Source: RNAcentral